CAGGGAGGUCACUUGUUAAGAUGGUAUUAUGGUUGUCUUCGGUGGUUUCUAAAUUGAAAGACAUGGUGUUGUUUUGCCUCCUCUCGUUUGCUCAGUUCUCCUACGGUUCUUGUAGGUAGAAUGAUGUCUGGACAUCUGGGGACUACAUGUCGUUGUUGUGGACUGGCUUGGCAGCGAGAGUGGGACUCGCGCCUUCUUACCCUUUUUAAUGAAAUAAAUAAGACAACUCAAUUUGCUGGUUGGAACAAGGAUUGUAAUGUUUAUUAUUUUUCUUUUCUUUUUGAUCAUAAAAUAUCACAG
This 300-nucleotide long non-coding RNA is filed under the name Mytilus galloprovincialis (Mediterranean mussel). The record is from RNAcentral. Lineage: Eukaryota; Metazoa; Mollusca; Bivalvia; Mytilida; Mytilidae.